UAAUCAUAAUCUUAAAUCUCUUCAAUUUAGAUUAGCAAUCCAGAUGGCAAUCCACGAGUGGGACUAAAACCCAACUCAUUUUGGUUAUUGAUAGAAAAACAUAUGCUGUCUUAAUGUUUAGUACAUCAUAAGAAAGUUUACAAACGAGAGGAGGCCAUUCGGCACAUCUUGCUCGUUUGGUCAGGACAGGAAUAUGAUGUGUAAGUGUAUCAAUAACUUCAUAUUUGGCCUUGCUUUUUAAAUUUUUUUUUGGUGUUGAACUUUGAACUCUGUCAGAUCAGCGGUGGCUGGGACAGGAGACUGUGCAUCUGGGAUUUAGAAACUGGUGAACUACAGGACACCUUCUGCAACCCGGAUCUUGACGGCUGGCAUGAACUGAAGGAGGUGGCGUGUGAUGGAGUCAUUUUAGACCUGGCCUAUUCUCCAAAGAGAAACGAGUUUGCAUACUCCUCCAGUGAUGGGCUGAUCUACAUACGGCAGUUCAGCCCUGUGGGCCGGGAGAUGAGGUUGGUCAAUGUGCUGCAGGGGCACCAAGCUGACAUCACCGCCAUCGUAUGGCACCACCUGAGCGACAAGUGGAUCAGCGGCUCUGAGGAUGGCACUAUCCGGAUAUGGGGUAUAUGACCCAGAGUCAUAUUUACUAGUUCAAAGAAAUGCUGGGCACACCGAUUCCAUCCGCUCUGUGCUGCACAUCCCAGAAAGGAAGCAGUAUGUGACAGCUUCAUCAGACAUGACUAUACGGAUGUGGAAUUCUUACACCAUGCUACCUCCAAACACCCAGCUGAGCUGAGCAAGGAGCAGCACAAGAGAUAUCCUGUUCUGCAUUGCAGCCCAGCCUCCAUGAGCAGCACAAAAGAUAUCCUGUUCUGCAUUGCAGCCCAGCCUUCACGAGCAGCACAAGAGAUAUCCCAUUCUGCAUUGCAAC
Long non-coding RNA from Acipenser ruthenus (sterlet), 925 nucleotides. RefSeq lists it as uncharacterized. The transcript is spliced from 4 exons. The record is from RefSeq and is a predicted model, not a curated record. NCBI's taxonomy places the organism in Eukaryota, Metazoa, Chordata, Actinopteri, Acipenseriformes, Acipenseridae.